Molecule: long non-coding RNA, 212 nt
Organism: Ceratitis capitata (Mediterranean fruit fly)
Lineage: Eukaryota; Metazoa; Arthropoda; Insecta; Diptera; Tephritidae
Exons: 2
Source: RefSeq, a predicted model, not a curated record
AAAAAAAUUAAGUAAAUCAUUUUUUAUUUAUACAUAUACAGUCAUUUGUUUGGAUGUAUGUUCAGUGAACCUCGAUCUCCGAUUGUUUUAUUUGUCAAUUUAUUCCCGGGAAGGCUUGUACCAAAUUCUCUUUUUUCGGGAGGUGGACCAGAGGCUGACCUAUUCGAAAAAAAUGCAGGAAGACUAAUCAUCUUUCCGGGAAGAGAACCAGG